AUUAGUAGUCAUUUAGAUUAUAACACCUCAUACAUUUUCUGUGAAGUCCAAAAAGUUACUCAGUAGCUUAAAUUAAGUUAUGUUCCAAGCAUAGAUAAAGGACUUGUAUAAAUUUUCCUUUUGUCUGUCUUUAGUGUCUAUGCAUAGCUAUUUAAACUAGGAGUAUAUAAGAAAAAUUUGCAGUAGGUACUUACAUUGUAAGUUAUUUUAUGACCUGGAAGUGUCGUAUGAAGUAUAAGUAUUAAGACUUAGUCAUAAGGUGUUCAAGGCAAAUUUAAAAAUGAUCAGUACUGUACAAAAUAGUUGAGUAUCGCCACCAGUACAGGGUACUGAUAAGAUGAACAGGCAUUUCCCUUGUUCAUUGCUAUACAGAAGCAGCAAAGACAUUACACUGCUUGGAUAUUCUACACACCAACCCAAAAGCCAGAUGGAAAGGCAAGAAGGAGCUCUGUAAACUCCUAGACGACAAAGCCAUCUUGUCAUAACCGUCAUCAUAAUCCUUUUUAAAAAUGGAAGACUGGACAUGGUUAAAAUAGCAUCAAGCGAUUUACAGCCUCAGGCUGGGCUUCUCGCAGUGCUCAGCUAUGAUGACCUCUAGGGUCAUCAAUACUGAAUGCUUUUUGAUUUCACGUGGCAGAAGGGGCCCCUGAAUCCAACUGAGAUCACCGCUAUUUCUGUAUAUACAGAUUGAGGCUUAACUGCAUGGAGUAGUUUUUUAUUGUUUCUGUCCAGGAGGAUGAAGCAAAGAUUCUGAUUUAAUAAGUGAUGUGUUUGAGACAUGGUUGAUGACAAGCAAUCAUUGAUUUACCCAGUUCUAGUUUUCAAACACAGCAAUUGUUUUCCUAUUUUGUGGCCACUGCCUCUGAAACUAUAUCAUGUAAGGAGAAGUCCAAAGCAUACAAAGAGAAUGGGAGCACUCUAACAAUCCUUUUUCUCCCUCUUGCAGGAUGGCGAAGUCUGACAGCUUAGCUUUGCUAUCCCUCAUGGGCAAGUACGCUUCCUUUGCCCCCUCCAAUUCAUUGCAAGAGUAAUGUGUCUUGUCCUGCUGCCAAUACUACCACAAUGGAUUACCGUGCUUCUCUGAAUAGAGAUACUGGUGAGUAAUUUUCAUCUCUGCUGAAAUUAAUUCAUACCUUUUUUCCCCAGUUUUGCAUCAGAAUCAAGUAACCUGACUGAUUUAGAGU
This 1184-nucleotide long non-coding RNA is filed under the name Struthio camelus australis. RNAcentral's name for it is "lncRNA (ENSSCUG00000014283.1)". The record is from RNAcentral. Lineage: Eukaryota; Metazoa; Chordata; Aves; Struthioniformes; Struthionidae.